CGCCGCGGGGUCCUCCCCGCGACGUGUGUUUUCCCGGGUGGAUGCGAGUUCCAGCAUCCCCCACGGGAAGGGCUGGAAGCGGGACGGCCGCCUGUCAGGUAGGGAGUUGAUGGCUAAUCUCAUCAAGACCCCAGCUGCACGGACCCCACAGAACAUCUCGCCCUCCUCAAACACCUGCUGAUGUUUGCUGUCUCUAGAAUUGUCCGCGGUCAUGAGUGGGCCCUGGGGGUGGCUGCAGCCUCCUCUGCCCUGUCCAUCUGGGCUCUAGCAUGAGUGGAGGUCACUGCUUCCAGCCUCAGUCCUUCAGCUCAGGGCAUCCCUCAAAGGCGUGCCAGAACUGGGGAACGCUUCAAGGUUUGGGUGUGCACGUGUUCCGCAAUGCUGUGCUCAUUUGUCCCUUGCUCUUUAAAGAAAUAAAGGAUAAUAUAAGGUA
Harpia harpyja (harpy eagle) is the source of this 433-nucleotide long non-coding RNA. RefSeq lists it as uncharacterized. The transcript is spliced from 2 exons. Lineage: Eukaryota; Metazoa; Chordata; Aves; Accipitriformes; Accipitridae. The record is from RefSeq and is a predicted model, not a curated record.